RNAcentral lists this unclassified non-coding RNA (220 nucleotides) under uncultured Pezizaceae. Its description in RNAcentral is "sequence contains ITS1". Lineage: Eukaryota; Fungi; Ascomycota; Pezizomycetes; Pezizales; Pezizaceae. The record is from RNAcentral.
UCAAAAGAUAUUUUCCCUCCUCCCCUUGUGUAUCUCCUCCAUGUUGCUUCCACUAGGCAGGCAUACAUAUGAUUGAAUAUCAAUCAAUAUUCAAUGGUAUUUAUGCCCUUCAUCCAUUCUAAUACUAAUGGUUGAAGAAGUGUCAGUGGAUAGCCUUACGUAUAAGAAAACCAUUUGUAAUAGCUAGUAUAGUCUGACUUUAUGUUAAAAUAAAUGAAAA